GAUGAACGCUGGCGGCGUGCCUAAUACAUGCAAGUCGAGCGAACGGACGAGAAGCUUGCUUCUCUGAUGUUAGCGGCGGACGGGUGAGUAACACGUGGAUAACCUACCUAUAAGACUGGGAUAACUUCGGGAAACCGGAGCUAAUACCGGAUAAUAUUUUGAACCGCAUGGUUCAAAAGUGAAAGACGGUCUUGCUGUCACUUAUAGAUGGAUCCGCGCUGCAUUAGCUAGUUGGUAAGGUAACGGCUUACCAAGGCAACGAUGCAUAGCCGACCUGAGAGGGUGAUCGGCCACACUGGAACUGAGACACGGUCCAGACUCCUACGGGAGGCAGCAGUAGGGAAUCUUCCGCAAUGGGCAAAAGCCUGACGGAGCAACGCCGCGUGAGUGAUGAAGGUCUUCGGAUCGUAAAACUCUGUUAUUAGGGAAGAACAUAUGUGUAAGUAACUGUGCACAUCUUGACGGUACCUAAUCAGAAAGCCACGGCUAACUACGUGCCAGCAGCCGCGGUAAUACGUAGGUGGCAAGCGUUAUCCGGAAUUAUUGGGCGUAAAGCGCGCGUAGGCGGUUUUUUAAGUCUGAUGUGAAAGCCCACGGCUCAACCGUGGAGGGUCAUUGGAAACUGGAAAACUUGAGUGCAGAAGAGGAAAGUGGAAUUCCAUGUGUAGCGGUGAAAUGCGCAGAGAUAUGGAGGAACACCAGUGGCGAAGGCGACUUUCUGGUCUGUAACUGACGCUGAUGUGCGAAAGCGUGGGGAUCAAACAGGAUUAGAUACCCUGGUAGUCCACGCCGUAAACGAUGAGUGCUAAGUGUUAGGGGGUUUCCGCCCCUUAGUGCUGCAGCUAACGCAUUAAGCACUCCGCCUGGGGAGUACGACCGCAAGGUUGAAACCCAAAGGAAUUGACGGGGACCCGCACAAGCGGUGGAGCAUGUGGUUUAAUUCGAAGCAACGCGAAGAACCUUACCAAAUCUUGACAUCCUUUGACAACUCUAGAGAUAGAGCCUUCCCCUUCGGGGGACAAAGUGACAGGUGGUGCAUGGUUGUCGUCAGCUCGUGUCGUGAGAUGUUGGGUUAAGUCCCGCAACGAGCGCAACCCUUAAGCUUAGUUGCCAUCAUUAAGUUGGGCACUCUAAGUUGACUGCCGGUGACAAACCGGAGGAAGGUGGGGAUGACGUCAAAUCAUCAUGCCCCUUAUGAUUUGGGCUACACACGUGCUACAAUGGACAAUACAAAGGGCAGCGAAACCGCGAGGUCAAGCAAAUCCCAUAAAGUUGUUCUCAGUUCGGAUUGUAGUCUGCAACUCGACUACACGAAGCUGGAAUCGCUAGUAAUCGUAGAUCAGCAUGCUACGGUGAAUACGUUCCCGGGUCU
RNAcentral lists this ribosomal RNA (1372 nucleotides) under uncultured bacterium. Its description in RNAcentral is "bacterial SSU rRNA". It matches the Rfam family "Bacterial small subunit ribosomal RNA", at positions 28 to 1381 of the family's 1533-position model. The record is from RNAcentral.